RNAcentral lists this long non-coding RNA (1539 nucleotides) under Triticum aestivum (bread wheat). Its description in RNAcentral is "long non-coding RNA (TAES_LNC027642)". Lineage: Eukaryota; Viridiplantae; Streptophyta; Magnoliopsida; Poales; Poaceae. The record is from RNAcentral.
CAACAAUUACUACGAGGAUGAAAGUAAAAUCUUCAUAUUAUACUCUUAGCUUUGCAUACAUGAUACAUCUUUUUUUGAGAAACAUGUCCUCUGUUGGACGCUAGCUCACUAAAAUGAUAAGAACACAUUUUUAGCACAAACAAAGCAAGACCAAAUGCUUUACUAUUGAGGUCUCAAACAUAUCAUUUUUUGCAAGAAUAAAAAAGUCACUAAGUUACACACAAGAGGGAAUCAAGUCUGGAGUAGAUAUUUUAUCUACAUUCUUCAACUGCAGAAUCUGAAUAGAAGCCCUAUGGGCGCUGGUACCAGCACAUUCCCUGGACAUCCUCUGUUAGAUCGGUAGCAAUCCAGGCAGCAGCUCAAUGGAAACAAAACUGAUGGGAAAGAAGACAACCAAUCAUAACAUAUUUUGUGCGAGAAAAAAGAACAUUAUGAUUUUGCUACGAGUACGACCUUCUGCACACCAGUAUAAAUGAAAUGCUCAUAAGCCAUAAUCAUUGUCAUCUAGCGCUCAGUGUUGUAAAAAAUCAUUUGCAAGUACAACAUGAUAAAAGAAAAGCUACAUGCUAAGAGAAGUUGCAUAAAGCUUUUGUUCAUUUCAUCACAAGGCAUUUAUGUACAUAUACAUUUCAGGACCAUGGACUGUCAGUGAAGAUAGAUAUUUUUUCCCCUCUUGACAGGAGAUGUAAAUACCAAAAACUUGCUGAAAACUGAUUGCAUCUACAUGUACAAAACAAACCCGCUGCACUUGCACCGAGAUUUCCUGCCCCGUAAAUAGUAUGAAACGUUCGGAUUAAUUAACUAAGGGUUUUUUAUCGCCAAGGACAUGAAAGUGAAAUCUAACAUAGAAAUAUAGAGCCAGAUAAACAUAGUUCUUAUCAAGAUGGAUGUAUGGUUCAGAAGAUACAUAUAGGAAGAGUCUCAAUCCUAAAUAGUAAAGUACAUUGGUGCAUCAAGAAAGGACUAACUCAUAUAUCGAAGGUCAAAAAUAACCAAUAUAUUUAUGAGCAAGCCAGCCGGUGCCAUGGUUUUAUACUAACUAACUACUUCAUUAAGAAUGUAUUUAGAUACGUUCUAAAUAAGUUUUGAGUUUUAUUUCAUAGCAUAUAACAAUUUGGGCAAAUCGGCAAUGGGGUUGACCAUUCUCACACAAAUUUCAUCAGAGGUUUCCAGAUGUCUAGAGACAACACGUGUAUGGAAAUAUAUCACAACUAAGCAACAGAAUCAGGAGAUGAAUAAUAGCAACAAAGAACGAAGAUAAGAACAGCCUAGGGUACAACACACUGACCUGAUUUGCUGAUUUUGUAGCACCAUAUCUUGUUGGAUGCUGGCCUCCUCCUGAUCAACCAACAGAUGCGAUGGCCUUAUUAAAAUAGGCUGGCAAAUGCAAAACCAAGGAAAGGAGAUCAAGGAACCGAAUUAAAUUCUGGAAAAAAGGGACCUCGCAAUCAAACCUUGCAAGGGGGCGAGGAGUGCACGAUGAUUAAAGAUGGGGCGCAUCCAGAUUUUGGCUGAUGGUGAAGCUGAGGGACACAGGGG